This 469-nucleotide ribosomal RNA is filed under the name uncultured Glomus. Its description in RNAcentral is "SSU rRNA". It matches the Rfam family "Eukaryotic small subunit ribosomal RNA", at positions 569 to 1041 of the family's 1831-position model. The record is from RNAcentral. Lineage: Eukaryota; Fungi; Glomeromycota; Glomeromycetes; Glomerales; Glomeraceae.
AGCAGCCGCGGUAAUUCCAGCUCCAAUAGCGUAUAUUAAAGUUGUUGCAGUUAAAAAGCUCGUAGUUGAAUUUCGGGAUCAAUAUUUCGGUCAUGCCGUUGGUAUGCACUGUUAUCAUUGAUUUCUCACCUUCUAAAGAACCGUAAUGCCAUUAAUUUGGUGUUACGGGGAAUUAGGACUGUUACCUUGAAAAAAUUAGAGUGUUUAAAGCAGGCUCACGCUUGAAUACAUUAGCAUGGAAUAAUGAAAUAGGACAUCCGAUUCUAUUUUGUUGGUUUCUAGGAUCGAUGUAAUGAUUAAUAGGGAUAGUUGGGGGCAUUAGUAUUCAAUUGUCAGAGGUGAAAUUCUUGGAUUUAUUGAAGACUAACUACUGCGAAAGCAUUUGCCAAGGAUGUUUUCAUUAAUCAAGAACGAAAGUUAGGGGAUCGAAGACGAUCAGAUACCGUCGUAGUCUUAACCAUAAACUAUG